This 497-nucleotide ribosomal RNA is filed under the name uncultured bacterium. RNAcentral describes it as "partial 16S ribosomal RNA". It matches the Rfam family "Bacterial small subunit ribosomal RNA", at positions 28 to 507 of the family's 1533-position model. The record is from RNAcentral.
GAUGAACGCUGGCGGCGUGCCUAAUACAUGCAAGUCGAGCGAACAGACGAGGAGCUUGCUCCUCUGACGUUAGCGGCGGACGGGUGAGUAACACGUGGAUAACCUACCUAUAAGACUGGGAUAACUUCGGGAAACCGGAGCUAAUACCGGAUAAUAUAUUGAACCGCAUGGUUCAAUAGUGAAAGACGGUUUUGCUGUCACUUAUAGAUGGAUCCGCGCCGCAUUAGCUAGUUGGUAAGGUAACGGCUUACCAAGGCAACGAUGCGUAGCCGACCUGAGAGGGUGGUCGGCCGCACUGGAACUGAGACACGGACCAGACUCCUGCGGGAGGCAGCAGAAGGAAAUCUUCCGCAAUAGGCGAAAGCCUGACGGAGCAACGCCGCGUGAGUGAUAAAGGUCUUCGGAUCGUAAAACUCGGUUAUUAGGGAAGAACAAAUGUGUAAGUAACUAUACACGGCUUGACGGUACCUAAUCAGAAAGCAACGGCUAACUACGUG